GAUGAAGAACGUAGCGAAAUGCGAUACGUAAUGUGAAUUGCAGAAUUCAGUGAAUCAUCGAGUCUUUGAACGCACAUUGCGCCCCCUGGUAUUCCGGGGGGCAUGCCUGUCCGAGCGUCAUUGCGGCCCUCAAGCACGGCUUGUGUGUUGGGCCUCCGUCCUCCUCCCGGGGGACGGGCCCGAAAGGCAGCGGCGGCACCGCGUCCGGUCCUCGAGCGUAUGGGGCUUCGUCACCCGCUCUUGUAGGCCCGGCCGGCGCUUGCCGACACAUCAAUCUUUUUUCCAGGUUGACCUCGGAUCAGGUAGGGAUACCCGCUGAACUUAAGCAUAUCAAUAAGCGGAGGA
Molecule: unclassified non-coding RNA, 345 nt
Filed under: soil metagenome
Description: partial contains 5.8S ribosomal RNA, internal transcribed spacer 2, and large subunit ribosomal RNA
Rfam family: 5.8S ribosomal RNA (bases 1-120)
Source: RNAcentral